ACGAACGCUGGCGGCGUGCUUAACACAUGCAAGUCGAACGGUGAAGAGAAGCUUGCUUCUUGGAUCAGUGGCGAACGGGUGAGUAACACGUGAGCAAUCUGCCCUUGACUCUGGGAUAAGCGUUGGAAACGACGUCUAAUACCGGAUACGACCCUCGGAGGCAUCUCCUGGGGGUGGAAAGAAUUUUGGUCAAGGAUGAGCUCGCGGCCUAUCAGCUAGUUGGUGAGGUAAUGGCUCACCAAGGCGACGACGGGUAGCCGGCCUGGGAGGGUGACCGGCCACACUGGGACUGAGACACGGCCCAGACUCCUACGGGAGGCAGCAGUGGGGAAUAUUGCACAAUGGGCGAAAGCCUGAUGCAGCAACGCCGCGUGAGGGACGAAGGCCUUCGGGUUGUAAACCUCUUUUAGUAGGGAAGAAGCGAAAGUGACGGUACCUGCAGAAAAAGCACCGGCUAACUACGU
Molecule: ribosomal RNA, 464 nt
Filed under: uncultured bacterium
Lineage: Bacteria
Description: bacterial SSU rRNA
Rfam family: Bacterial small subunit ribosomal RNA
Source: RNAcentral